UUACAGCACGUGCACGGUAUGUGGGGGGGCAGUGUACACAGGGCCGAAAGAGUAUUACAGCAUGUGCACAGUAUGUGGGGGGGCAGUGUACACAGGGCCGAGAGAGCAUUACAGCACGUGCACAGUAUGUGGGGGGACAGUGUACACAGGGCCGAGAGAGCAUUACAGCACGUGCACAAUAUGUGGGGGGACAGUGUACACAGGGCCGAGAGAGCAUUACAGCACGUGCACAGUAUGUGGGGAGGGGACAGUGUACACAGGACCGAGGGAGGCCAGUAGGGCAGGACAGCGAGGGGCACAGUGUAUAGAGAGGGAAGAUGAGCCUGAAGAAAUAGGGGCCUGGCAGCCAGUCUCAAAAGCUGCACUGGCGAUCUACCCGGGGGAGCAGCGUAGUCAAACAUGCUGUACCUGUAGAGGCAUCACUUUGAUGGCACCCGACAAGGCAAACUGACCUCGGCCAGGCCCGGAAGCCAGCAGGUAAUCCAUAUACAUAAUGUUUUCUUUCUUUAAACAGUGCAGUGCUGUCAUCGCUUUAAAUAAUCUUGCCUCUGUCUGUCUUUCUUCUUUCUUUCUUUCUUUCUUUCUUUCUUUCUUUCUUUCUUUCUUUCUUUCUUUCUUUCUUUCUUUCUUUCUUUCUUUCUUUCUUUCUUUUUCUUUCCUUCUUUCCUUCCUUCUUUCCUUCUUUCUGUCUGUCUUUCUUUCGUUCUUUCUUUCUUUCUUUCUUUCUUUCUUUCUUUCUGUCUGUCUGUCUGUCUGUCUUUCUGUCUUUCUUCAGAACUCCCACAGACUGGUUCACUCCCCAGAUGACUGUAACGAGUGGGGCUGGGUUGGUGUUGAAGCCAGGAGUCAGGAAUACUCCACAUAGACAGCAGAAGCACAAUUACUUGAGCCAUCAUCACUGUCUCCCAGUGUCCGCACUGAUGAGAAGCUACAGUCAGGAGCCAGAGCCAGGAACUGGACCCAGGACUCCAGGGUCCUACAGGCUAGGCUAAGUACCCAUUUCCUUCCCUUUCCUCGUAAGCCAAAUGACAGUUACCAACUGGAAAAUGAUCGAGCCCCACAGAUAAGAUCUUUAUAAUCUUGUAAAAAUACCAAAGGGCUCACAGUAAAAAUGGGAAUGUGUGGCUAAUAAACAUGUAGAAAAGUGAAGAUAAAUGUUCAGUUCCUCUAGGCACCUAGGGGCUUCCAACCAACAUGGAGCAACAGGAAUCAGAUUUAUUUUCCCUUCUUAAAUGAAGAAAACCCCAGAGAAAAUACGUGAAACAAUAAGUGUUUCAAACACUAGACAUCAAUCCGGGAGCUCCGGCAGUGAUCCUUGGGAGAGGGAAACUGGUGAGACCAGGCCUGUGAUGGCUCCAGCCACAGAGCAACCUACUGCAUGCACAGGUAACAUGGCUCUCACAUCACCUUGUGGAGACUGGGUUUGGAAAACUAGCGUGCUAGGACACUGAUCUGGCUGCUGCCCUGUGCUGUAAGCAAUAAGCCAUUUUUUUCUCUGAUCCAAAGCUUCAAAUCUCUCUCUCUCUCUCUUACAUACGCAUAUAUGAAGGUAUUUAUGAGGAUAUUUCAAAUGCUGGUAGAAAAAAAUGAACACGUAAGUUUAUUUUGGUGCAAAAAUAUUUUGAAAUCCAGGCAUGGUUCUUUUUAUUUUUUAUUUUUAUUUAUUUUUAUUUUCUGACAGGCAGAGUGGACAGUGAGAGAGAGAGACAGAGAGAAAGGUCUUCCUUUGCCGUUGGUUCACCCUCCAAUGGCCGCCGCGGCCGGCGCACCACACUGAUCCGACGGCAGGAGCCCAGUACUUAUACUGGUCUCCCAUGGGGUGCAGGGCCCAAGGACUUGGGCCAUCCUCCACUGCACUCCCGGGCCACAGCAGAGAGCUGGCCUGGAAGAGGGGCAACCAGGACAGAAUCCGGCGCCCCGACCAGGACUAGAAUCCGGUGUGCCAGCGCCGCCAGGCGGAGGAUUAGCCUAGUGAGCCGCGGUGCUGGCGGUUUUCUUCAUAAUGCAUACUUUCCAUGAACUUUCUUUGUUUUUUAAAAGAGUUCUUUAUUUAUGUGGAAGGCAGAGUUACAGUGUGAGAGGGAGAGAAGAAGAGAGAGAGUUCUUCACUGUUGAUGAACAGUGCCUUGAAGACCCAUAGGUGUCAAAGGAUCACUCAGCACAUGCCGCAUGUUCUCUCCCAAACAUGUUUUCUCAUUUCUCACAAUAUGGAAAGCUUCUGAGUCUUUGAGUUAUAUUUUUGUUGCAGUGGAGGAUGGCCCAAGUCCUUGGGCCCUGCACCCCAUGGGAGACCAGGAUAAGUACCUGGCUCCUGCCAUCGGAUCAGUGGCGGCCAUUGGGAGGUGAACCGAUGGCAAAAAGGAAGACUUUUCUCUCUGUCUCUCUCUCUCACUGUCCACUCUCUGUCAGGAAAAAAAAAAUUCCAUAUUUAUAAUUUCCUUCUUUUCUCACUUUACUAUAACCGUUUGAUAUAAGCCAAACUAGAACUUAACGUUUUGAUCAGAAAGCUCUUACCUCAAACAUCCUAUUCACCGCCACAGGUCAACCUUCUACAAAAAGAGAUUGAUCUUCCACAUGCUGGUUCCCUCCCCAGAUGGCCAAAACAGCCAGGACUGGCCCAGGCCAAAGCCAGGAGCCAGGAGCUCCAAUCAGAUCUCUGAUGUGGAUGGCAGGGGCCCAAGCAUUUGGGCCAGCUUCCGCUGUUCCUAGGUGCAAUAGCACAGAGCUGGAUUGGAAAUGGAGCAGCCAGGACUCAAACUGGAGCACACUUGGGAUGCCGGCAUCGCAGG
Oryctolagus cuniculus (rabbit) is the source of this 2789-nucleotide non-coding RNA. Lineage: Eukaryota; Metazoa; Chordata; Mammalia; Lagomorpha; Leporidae. The record is from RefSeq and is a predicted model, not a curated record.